GAAUUCCUUACUUUGGAGAAGAACCCUUACAAGGGACCCUUGUUAAAACAAGACACAAUUAAGAGAUGGAAGGGCCCAAAAGCCUUGAAAAACAGGCUCUGAGACUGACGCCCUGGUUGCUUGAAGCGCAGGCGAAGGUAGACUGGCCCAGACGACAGCGUGAGAGCUCUCCGGCCCCAUUGCGUCAAGGUUUCUCUUUGGAUGCAAUUCCAGAAGAGACCACUAGAGGGCAGGAUACACCUCUCAAUGCCUGCUGGGCAUGGGGGGCGGGGUGUUGAGGCUCCCAGGCCUGGCCGCCCAUGUAACUUCCCCGAAAGAAGAGGGGUUCAAGCUUUCCCACCGCCCUGCUAACGAACUUUCUUAAAAGUCAGUUGCCUAACCUGCUACCAAAGGAAGUCUAAAUGAACCCAGCCUCCAUGAGGCGAGGAAGCUCAGGCCACACGGGGCGGCCACGUGUCUGGGCUGUUAGCCCAUCCUGAGGUCCCAGCCAGCAGCAGGCAUCAGCUACCAGACAUGCAGCCCAGUGUUGGGGAGAACCCGUUACAGAGCAAUGGAUAACUGGCAUUUGCUGGGGAGGACUGAUAGUAAAAGCCCUGAAACCAUGCACUGCCCUGGCCCUUACCCAGUUUUGUUAUUUGGAAAAUGUGAAUUAUCACAAAGCAAGCAGGAUCCCGCUCCCUGGGCAGCACGUCACGGCCGCAGAACUUGAACCCUUCACUGACCCUGCUGUGCGUGGCUGACACACAGAGUGGAUCUUCCAUACAAGCUGUAAGCAACAGGCAGGCUCUCCUCUCUCGAGAAACAACGGGUUCCUUCCACUCAAAGGGAAAAACAAGAAGAGGAAGAGCGGCUGCCUGGUCUCUGCCAGUCAUGGAAUACAUCUCAGCAAAUGAUCAGAUUUGAAACGGCUUUGUGUCCGGGCUCACUUGGUCCUACUGGGAAAUAACCUGAUUUGAGUGGGAAACACCCCUGUGCCAUGGAGAUGCAAGUGGGAUCCUUUGGGAGAGGAAAAAUAGAAACUGAUUAUGAAGUUUGAGAC
Molecule: non-coding RNA, 1039 nt
Organism: Kogia breviceps (pygmy sperm whale)
Lineage: Eukaryota; Metazoa; Chordata; Mammalia; Artiodactyla; Physeteridae
Source: RefSeq, a predicted model, not a curated record